GGGUGCUCGAGUGGCGAACGGGUGAGUAACACGUGAGUAACCUGCCCUUGACUUUGGGAUAACUUCAGGAAACUGGGGCUAAUACCGGAUAGGAGCUCCUGCUGCAUGGUGGGGGUUGGAAAGUUUCGGCGGUUGGGGAUGGACUCGCGGCUUAUCAGCUUGUUGGUGGGGUAGUGGCUUACCAAGGCUUUGACGGGUAGCCGGCCUGAGAGGGUGACCGGCCACAUUGGGACUGAGGUACGGCCCAG
This 248-nucleotide ribosomal RNA is filed under the name uncultured Actinomycetales bacterium. RNAcentral describes it as "partial 16S ribosomal RNA". It matches the Rfam family "Bacterial small subunit ribosomal RNA", at positions 85 to 334 of the family's 1533-position model. Lineage: Bacteria; Bacillati; Actinomycetota; Actinomycetes; Actinomycetales. The record is from RNAcentral.